Molecule: ribosomal RNA, 433 nt
Filed under: Bacilli bacterium oral taxon C43
Lineage: Bacteria; Bacillati; Bacillota; Bacilli
Description: bacterial SSU rRNA
Rfam family: Bacterial small subunit ribosomal RNA
Source: RNAcentral
GACGAACGCUGGCGGCGUGCCUAAUACAUGCAAGUCGAGCGGAGUUUUUAAAAGCUUGCUUUUAAAAACUCAGCGGCGGACGGGUGAGUAACACGUGGGCAACCUGCCCUGUAGACUGGGAUAACUUCGGGAAACCGAAGCUAAUACCGGAUAAUCAUAGAAGUUGCAUAGCUUCUAUGUAAAAGUUGGGUUUACCUAACACUACAGGAUGGGCCCGCGUCGCAUUAGCUAGUUGGUAAGGUAACGGCUUACCAAGGCGACGAUGCGUAGCCGACCUGAGAGGGUGAUCGGCCACACUGGGACUGAGACACGGCCCAGACUCCUACGGGAGGCAGCAGUAGGGAAUCUUCCGCAAUGGACGAAAGUCUGACGGAGCAACGCCGCGUGAGCGAUGAAGGCCCUUUCGGGUCGUAAAGCUUCUGUUGUUAGGGAA